CAGCAGCCGCGGGAACACGUAGGUGGCAAGCGUUGUCCGGAAUUAUUGGGCGUAAAGGGCUCGCAGGCGGUUUCUUAAGUCUGAUGUGGAAGCCCCCGGCUCAACCGGGGGGGGUCAUUGGAAACUGGGAAACUUGAGUGCAGAAGAGGAGAGUGGAAUUCCACGUGUAGCGGUGAAAUGCGUAGAGAUGUGGAGGAACACCAGUGGCGAAGGCGACUCUCUGGUCUGUAACUGACGCUGAGGAGCGAAAGCGUGGGGAGCGAACAGGAUUAGAUACCCGAGUAGUCCCUGUCUCUUAUAC
Molecule: ribosomal RNA, 301 nt
Filed under: uncultured bacterium
Lineage: Bacteria
Description: partial 16S ribosomal RNA
Rfam family: Bacterial small subunit ribosomal RNA
Source: RNAcentral